CAGCCGCCGCGGUAAUACGUAGGUGGCAAGCGUUGUCCGGAAUUAUUGGGCGUAAAGGGCGCGUAGGCGGUUUGACAAGUCUGAUGUGAAAUCUCUGGGCUCAACCCAGAGUCUGCAUCGGAAACUGUCGAGCUUGAGUAUGGGAGAGGUGAGUGGAAUUUCCGGUGUAGCGGUGAAAUGCGUAGAUAUCGGAAGGAACACCUGUGGCGAAAGCGGCUCACUGGACCAUUACUGACGCUGAGGCGCGAAAGCUAGGGGAGCAAACAGGAUUAGAUACCCCUGUAGUCCCUGUCUCUUAUAU
This 301-nucleotide ribosomal RNA is filed under the name uncultured bacterium. RNAcentral describes it as "partial 16S ribosomal RNA". It matches the Rfam family "Bacterial small subunit ribosomal RNA", at positions 509 to 809 of the family's 1533-position model. The record is from RNAcentral.